Galleria mellonella (greater wax moth) is the source of this 428-nucleotide long non-coding RNA. RefSeq lists it as uncharacterized. The record is from RefSeq and is a predicted model, not a curated record. The transcript has 3 exons. Lineage: Eukaryota; Metazoa; Arthropoda; Insecta; Lepidoptera; Pyralidae.
UCGGGCAAGACUGGUAGUAAAAAAAAAACAGCAGUUUCUUUAUCUAUUCCAAUUUUAGUAUAUGUAUCGCCGAAUUAAUUACAGUUCGAUAUUCGAUAAACUUAAAUAUCACUGUCACGAAGCGUCAGUUGAUAGCUACGGGCGCUAUUUUUCAGGGGAAAGUGCAUCUAAUCCAUUCACAAGCUAAACAGCGACUAAUUUCACGAGCGCUGUGACGCUCGUGGCACUUUUAGUUGCGAUGCGCACGAGCGCAAUGGCGCUCGUCGGCACUCAAAGGGUUAAAUGUCUGGUUUCUUGUUAUAUUUUCCAAAAUAUAGAUUAUCUUAGGCUACAGGACCAUGUAACUGGUGUAAUUAAUUUAUUUUAAUAAUAUGAAGACUCAAAUUGACAUUAUCUUUAUUAGUAAAGUAUAAAAUUAAUAUUGUAAA